RNAcentral lists this ribosomal RNA (558 nucleotides) under Velarifictorus micado (Japanese burrowing cricket). Its description in RNAcentral is "bacterial SSU rRNA". It matches the Rfam family "Eukaryotic small subunit ribosomal RNA", at positions 47 to 573 of the family's 1831-position model. Lineage: Eukaryota; Metazoa; Arthropoda; Insecta; Orthoptera; Gryllidae. The record is from RNAcentral.
AGCCAUGCAUGUCUCAGUGCAAGCCGAAGUAAGGUGAAACCGCGAAUGGCUCAUUAAAUCAGUUAUGGUUCAUUGGGCAUACACAGUUACAUGGAUAACUGUGGUAAUUCUAGAGCUAAUACAUGCAAUCUGAGUCUCGACCAGCAAUGGAAGGGACGCUUUUAUUAGAUCAAAACCAAUCGGCCGCGGGCCGUGGCUUCGGCUCACGCCCCGGCCGUUUGCUUUGGUGACUCUGGAUAACUUUAUGCCGAUCGCACGGUCUUCGCGCCGGCGACGAUCCCUUCAAAUGUCUGCCUUAUCAACUGACGAUGGUAGGCUCCUUGCCUACCAUGGUUGUAACGGGUGACGGGGAAUCAGGGUUCGAUUCCGGAGAGGGAGCCUGAGAAACGGCUACCACAUCCAAGGAAGGCAGCAGGCGCGCAAAUUACCCACUUCCGGCACGGGGAGGUAGUGACGAAAAAUAACGAUACGGGACUCAUCCGAGGCCCCGUAAUCGGAAUGAGAACACUUUAAAUACUUUAACAAGUAUCCAUUGGAGGGCAAGUCUGGUGCCAGCAG